Long non-coding RNA from Oreochromis niloticus (Nile tilapia), 2131 nucleotides. RefSeq lists it as uncharacterized. The record is from RefSeq and is a predicted model, not a curated record. Lineage: Eukaryota; Metazoa; Chordata; Actinopteri; Cichliformes; Cichlidae. The transcript has 2 exons.
CUGUGUGCUAUUAGUCUGUGUGUGUUCAUUCAUUCUUUGUCCAAGUGUCUGUUAUGAUACCUUGUCUCCAUGAUUAUGUAUUUAUGCCAGGUGUCCAUGUCCCAGGGUUCUAUUAUGUUUAGUUCACCCAUUUUAGGUUAUGAUUUAGUUUUGCCUUUGUUUUGUAUCUCUUAGUCCAGCCUCUAAUAAACGGGUUGUUUUCAGUUAAUAUUAAGUUGUGUUAUUUUGCAUGUCUGCACUUGGGUCCACCUUCUACACUUCUUAUCGUCUGCCUCAGCCAGACUGUGAUACAAUGCUCUGACCAUGACGGACCCAGCGACACGCAGCCCCCCCCAGACGAGCUCAAGGAGAGGCUAAUUCACACUGUGGGGGAUUGAUGCGGCACGUGGUGGGAGCUCUCGGGAAAAGAGGCGCGGGAAGAAAAGGUUUAUCAGCUGCAGGGAUGUUUUGAGGCAUUUCCCUGGUUAUGGGAGGUAGAACACCCUCUGAUAGCCGACUUUUUCCACACCACCCUCCAAAUCCAUUCACAGCACCAGCUGGCCAGUGUGCGGGCUGAAUCUUCCCAGCCCUGCGGUGAUGCAGCUCUCCCUUCACCGGCCACAGGAGUAAAGGUCGGUGCUCUCAGACUGUCGUCUGUCUUCAUGCCCAUGUCGGCGCAGCAGCGGACAAGUGUUGUGUUUUCCUUGCCGCAACUGGAGGCUGCGUCUACCUCAGCUGUAAUGGCUCCUGCCUCCACAACUAUGGCGUCCAGGAAGAGGCGGCAUCCACAUCACCACCGCGGCUUACAGCAGCGUGAGGCCAACUGAGGCUCCGCUUUGUCCUUCACCUGUAUCUGUUCUUCAGGUGAGACAGCUGAUGCCCAGCAACCGCCUGCAAGCCCAGUCACUGAGUCUGGUACUACUGAUUUUUCCUUGUGGGAUGUGGAACCAAAUAAUGUGCUAAUUGAGACUGAAUCUAUGAACAUUAAUCCUGUGACCAGCUCCAGUGUUAAUGGCCUUGAUUAUGAACUGCUGGGCAAUGUUUCCAUGGACAAUGAUAUUAUGAGCAUUUUUCAUGUACCUGAACUAACUCAUUCAAAGUGAGUGGAACUGGGGGGUCCGAGAGGCCCGUCCAGCAUCCUGUCUUGUCAGCUGGUGGGUCCAAGUUACCUGUUGUGCCAUCAGCAGCUUUUACUCAGUCGCCUGCUGCGUCACCACCUGCUCCUACGGCUGCCACGCCGCCGUCUGGUCCUGCUGCUGUCCAGUCCACGUCCAGCACCUCAACAUCGCCGGCCACUUUCCAGGCCACUGGCUGGACAUCAACGCCGUCGUGGGCAGCCUCUUGAAUUGUGUCGCCGCCGUCUUUCACGCAGACAGCCUCCGGACCUCCUCUGUCGCCACUGCUGGCUCCGAAGUUGUCCUCCUGAGCUGUUGAGUUGCCGUCACUUUCCACGUGGCCUGCUACCUGAACUGUUGGGCCAUGAACUCCUGUGCCGUCGCCCUCCUGAAAGGUUUACGAACUGUUUCCUGAGCUUGAGUGCCUUUCCUAGACUUUUAUUUUGGACUGUUUCAUAAGCUCCAGGUUUUCUUGUGAAACUUUUGCUCUGGCUUUUCAGUUUCAUGUGUCUUAUGAUAAUGUGUUCAGACUGCCUGUAGGGGAGAGCUGCUUUUUGUUUUAUGAUUUCCCCCCCCCCUUUUUUUUUUUUUUUUCCUCCCCCCCUUUUCCUCCCCCUUUCUGCUUAUGUGUUGGGUUGGGUAAGUUAUUAUUGUAGGUGUCAUGGUCUGGGUGAGUCUGCAGUUGGCUCCACCUUUGGGUGGGGAAUCCAAUUAGCCUUCACAUCUGACUGCAAUCAAGUCACUAGCAUUUAAGAAUAGCACUCACAACAGACCGCUGCCGGUUUUCUGAGUUUCUCGCAUUCUCAUCAUGAGUCACUGUAAAUCAAACACUGUAUUCACAUCAGUUUUGCCUCCAUCUGUUUCUGCACUUGAGUCCACACACACAGCCUGGCCCUUUCGGCUGUAACAGUAGGUUGAAUAUUUUGUUUUCUUUGGAGUUAGGUAAGUUAUUUUGUUAUGCUGGCCUUAGCACUCUCUGAAAUGUCAGUCUGAACCAGAACUUUAAAACUAGCAGGAAAUAAACCUUUGAAAACUGC